UGGAUUGAUGAUGACCACUGGUGGCAUAUGAGUCGUAUGUGAUGAAUACAUGUCUGGAACUCUUGAGGUCCAA
Small nucleolar RNA from Leptonychotes weddellii (Weddell seal), 73 nucleotides. RefSeq annotates it as small nucleolar RNA SNORD113/SNORD114 family. Lineage: Eukaryota; Metazoa; Chordata; Mammalia; Carnivora; Phocidae. The record is from RefSeq and is a predicted model, not a curated record.